Molecule: non-coding RNA, 21 nt
Filed under: Caenorhabditis elegans
Lineage: Eukaryota; Metazoa; Nematoda; Chromadorea; Rhabditida; Rhabditidae
Source: RNAcentral
UUCGUAAUUGGCAGAGCUUUG